AUUGAACUGUGCGUCACAAGGAGACUUAUUUCGUACUCGUUUUCUUACUUGUGGAGAAAUCCACUGACUUCAAGUUGUUCCUGUCCUUCCUGGGAUUUUCACAUCAUGACAGUUCCAGAAGUCUUAAUUUUUGUUUUCUUCCCUAAUUUUGCUGUCAACAUGCUGGAAUAAGGACAACAGAUUUAGAAGAUAUACUUAGUAUUUUGACAUAUUAAAUACAACUGCUCUUUGAAGGUCUUUCCACUCUGUCCAGAGGAACUGGGUGCUCCUGGUGUGUCUUCACUCACGACAUUCAAGAGAAAAAUAACAACCCCAUGAGAGUGUCAGGAAGAUAAAUUCAUUAAUAUCUGUGGAGACUAGAGCACUACUAUGAGAGUACUAUGGGAAAGCCCAUGAGAAAAUGAGUGAUUCUCUAUUCAGUGCUGCAUUUGGAUGGAGAGCAGUAAAUAAUGGAUAGGGCAUGCAUUGAGAGGUGAGUCUAAAAAGAAAUAUUGAACAACUAUCGAUUCAUUGUGCUCUGUUCAUGUUUUCCUGGUCCUUCUCUCUGCACCUCCCAUGGAGUUUCUUGAGUUUAAUCUCAUCUGAUUUUAGUUUAUUAAAUAAAGUAUCUAGUGUGCUUCCCCUGUAGCCAGUGAAAAGAGAAAGGUACCUUAGGAAGCAAUUCAUCAUGCUACCUCUGACACCUGGGUUAAAAUGAGUUGAUCACUGUCUGGGGUGUCUAUCUCUUUUCCUGGACUCACACUGAUGGAGUGCAGA
Non-coding RNA from Sturnus vulgaris (Common starling), 756 nucleotides. The record is from RefSeq and is a predicted model, not a curated record. NCBI's taxonomy places the organism in Eukaryota, Metazoa, Chordata, Aves, Passeriformes, Sturnidae.